This 1182-nucleotide long non-coding RNA is filed under the name Homo sapiens (human). RNAcentral describes it as "long non-coding RNA NONHSAT191001.1". Lineage: Eukaryota; Metazoa; Chordata; Mammalia; Primates; Hominidae. The record is from RNAcentral.
GCCCGCCGCCCAGGACCCAGGGCCCUUCUGAAAAGUGGAGCCUCCCUACACCCUACGCACACGGCGGCUGUUCCCCACGACACAGCGGGGGGCAAAUGACCACCAGGAGCCAGGGAGUCCCAGGGAAAGGACGCAGAUGGCUCGUGUCCUGGAAUUUCAUGGGAGCCAUUUGAAAUCAUCAGCAAAUGACGCCCGAGUCUAUAAGGGACCUCAGCGCAGGGGCUGGAUGAGACAGGGUGGGCAGCCACAAAACAGGGUGGUGAAGGCCCGAGGCCAGGAGGGCUGGGUUAGCACUCGGCCACCAGAGGGAAGCAAGCAAGCUCCCUCCCUCUCUCUCUUUCUCUCUGUCUAUGUGUCUUUCUCUCUCCCUCUCUGUCUCUCUCCAUCUCUCUCUCCACCCACACCUCCUGAGGAUUGUUGGGUUUUCCCAUGGACUAGGGUUAGACAGCCAGCGAGUCUGAACGGAAGGCGCCAGGUGUGGCAGUGGGGAAGUGAGGUGGGGCCUGGAACACAAGGGCAAGGGCCUCUGGGAGGACCGCGCAGGCUCGGCACACUGAGCGGACUGACUGCAGACCCUCCUCCCACACCAGGGGGACCACCUCUCUGUGCAAAGAUGUCCUCACUUGAUAUUCUCAAUUCUUUGAGGUCAAGGUUUUAUUAACACUCCCUGAAAAGUGGGAGAGCUUAGUGAUAAGACUGUAUCAUUUUUGCAAGACACAAAGCAAGCACAGCUGGAUGGCAUGUGCCAGCUCCCUCACCAUGCUGAGCACUUUUACUCACAUCUCACCCCUGCAGACAGAUGCCAGUGUCCUCACUCACCCACUGGGGCAGACAUUAUUAGUUGCCAAUGCAAGACCCAUUUCCUCACGUCCUAACUAAUAGAACCCCAACUGUGUCCAGGCAGGUGACGUGCCCAGCUAAAAAUACUCACCUUUUCAGACUCCCUUGAAGUUAGUAGCGGCCACGUGAUACUUCCAACAAAUAAGACAUACACAGAGAUCUGCUGGGGCUUCUGUGAAAACUUUUACUUCCCUGAAACGGGUACCACCUUCCUUCUCCCAUUCUUUCUUCCUCCUUGAAGCACAGAAGCAAUGCCUGGAGCUGCAGCGGCCAUUUUGUGAUUGUGAAGCAAUGACCUGAGGAAUGAAGGCCAACAUCAAGGAUGGCAAAACAGAGAGAGGA